GGCCGUUUAUUUCAGUGGUAGAAGAUUCGCCUCCUAGAAGCUCAAAGCUUUUCAGACAGCGAAAGGUCCGCGGUUCGAACCCGCGAUCGGUCG
RNAcentral lists this transfer RNA (93 nucleotides) under Tilletia horrida. RNAcentral describes it as "tRNA-Arg". It matches the Rfam family "tRNA". From Rfam's summary of the family: Transfer RNA (tRNA) molecules are approximately 80 nucleotides in length. Lineage: Eukaryota; Fungi; Basidiomycota; Exobasidiomycetes; Tilletiales; Tilletiaceae. The record is from RNAcentral.